This 703-nucleotide long non-coding RNA is filed under the name Canis lupus familiaris (dog). RNAcentral's name for it is "lncRNA (ENSCAFG00000053083.1, ENSCAFG00845024209.1)". The record is from RNAcentral. Lineage: Eukaryota; Metazoa; Chordata; Mammalia; Carnivora; Canidae.
UAAGGAAAGUGUGGGACAAAGGUAGUGGGUACAUGCUGGUAAGCAGGUUCACCCUGACAAAGGCUUAGUGGGUAGACUCACAGGUGGGAAUUUGGCAACAAAGAGAUAAUUUGGGAGACUUUGCAAUAGUUUAGGCAAGAAAUGGAAGAUGAAAUAAAUCUAGAUGGAUAGGUAACAAGAUCAGUUUUAGAUUUAGAUUGGGGUGUGUGUUGGGUUUCCAAGAAGAGACAAAUAGGCAUCAAGGGAAAGCUCUGGAUUAGAAUUGUAGCUUUGGGAUCUAUCAGUAUAUAACUGAUAGCCAUAUAUAUGGAUGAGAUCAUUUAGUGAGGGAAGAAAGGAUAGAAUAUUGGGAAACAACAUUUAAGGUGUAAUAGAUAAAAAGAACUCUAAGAUGAAAAAUAUAAGAAGGCAGGAAUGGAAGGUAAAGAGAAUAGAUUUAUGGAAGUGAAGGCGGAAAUAAGUAGUCAACAUGACAAUAUAUGAAGAUUUUUUCUUUUAAUAAACUUCUCUAUAUUACCAGAAUCUAGCAUAGAACCUGGCACUGAGUGGGUGUUAACAUAUAUCUUUGAAACUGAACUUACCAAGUACACUUUGUCAUCACUACAAUAUUAUUGGUCAGAGAAAAUCCUCAAUCACACAGGCAAAUUCCAUCUGAUUUGGUCAAAUAAGAAGGAAUUUUAUUUUACUUUAUCUGUAAAAGGAG